RNAcentral lists this ribosomal RNA (254 nucleotides) under uncultured bacterium. Its description in RNAcentral is "partial 16S ribosomal RNA". It matches the Rfam family "Bacterial small subunit ribosomal RNA", at positions 524 to 776 of the family's 1533-position model. The record is from RNAcentral.
UACGGAGGGGGCUAGCGUUGUUCGGAAUUACUGGGCGUAAAGCGCGCGUAGGCGGCUUUGUAAGUUAGAGGUGAAAGCCCGGAGCUCAACUCCGGAAUUGCCUUUAAGACUGCAUCGCUAGAAUCAUGGAGAGGUGAGUGGAAUUCCGAGUGUAGAGGUGAAAUUCGUAGAUAUUCGGAAGAACACCAGUGGCGAAGGCGACUCACUGGACAUGUAUUGACGCUAAGGUGACGAAAGCGUGGGGAGCAAACAGG